GACGUAGGUGGCGAACGUUAUCCGGAAUUAUUGGGCGUAAAGCGUGCGCAGGCGGUUUUGCGAGCCGGAUGUGAAAUCCCCGGGCUUAACCUGGGAACUGCAGUUGUGACUGCAUCGCUGGAGUGCGGCAGAGGGGGAUGGAAUUCCGCGUGUAGCAGUGAAAUGCGUAGAUAUGCGGAGGAACACCGAUGGCGAAGGCAAUCCCCUGGGCCUGCACUGACGCUCAUGCACGAAAGCGUGGGGAGCAAACAGG
This 253-nucleotide ribosomal RNA is filed under the name uncultured bacterium. RNAcentral's name for it is "partial 16S ribosomal RNA". It matches the Rfam family "Bacterial small subunit ribosomal RNA", at positions 524 to 776 of the family's 1533-position model. The record is from RNAcentral.